GGCCCCGUCAUCUAGUGGUUAGGAUACAUGAUUCUCAAUCAUGGUACACGGGUUCGACUCCCGUCGGGGCCG
RNAcentral lists this transfer RNA (72 nucleotides) under Patescibacteria group bacterium. RNAcentral describes it as "tRNA-Glu". It matches the Rfam family "tRNA". Rfam says of the family: Transfer RNA (tRNA) molecules are approximately 80 nucleotides in length. Their secondary structure includes four short double-helical elements and three loops (D, anti-codon, and T loops). The record is from RNAcentral.